AACGAACGCUGGCGGCAUGCCUAACACAUGCAAGUCGAACGAGACCUUCGGGCCUUGUUGCGCUCGUGUGCGUACCGCGUGGGAACCUGCCCUUAGGUUCGGAAUAACUCCCCGAAAGGGGUGCUAAUACCGGAUAAUGUCUUCGGACCAAAGAUCUAUGGCCUUUGGAUGGGCCCGGGUUGGAUUAGCUGGUUGGUAGGGUAAAAGCCUGCUAUGGCGUCGUUCCAGAGCUGGUGUGAGAGGAGGGUCAGCCACACUGGGGCUGCGACACGGCCCAGAGUCGUACGGGAGGCAGCGGAGGGGUGUAUAGGAGGAGGGGCGAAAGUCUGAUAAAGCACUGCCGCGUGAGUGAUGAAGGGCUUAGGGUUGUAAAGCUCUUUUACCCGGGAUGAUAGUGACAGUACCGGGAGAAUAAGCACCGGCUAACUACGUG
RNAcentral lists this ribosomal RNA (433 nucleotides) under uncultured bacterium. Its description in RNAcentral is "partial 16S ribosomal RNA". It matches the Rfam family "Bacterial small subunit ribosomal RNA", at positions 29 to 507 of the family's 1533-position model. The record is from RNAcentral.